Molecule: ribosomal RNA, 357 nt
Filed under: uncultured bacterium
Lineage: Bacteria
Description: partial 16S ribosomal RNA
Rfam family: Bacterial small subunit ribosomal RNA
Source: RNAcentral
CCUACGGGUGGCAGCAGUGGGGAAUAUUGGGCAAUGGGCGCAAGCCUGACCCAGCAACGCCGCGUGAAGGUAGAAGGCUUUCGGGUUGUAAACUUCUUUUGACAGGGAAGAGCAGAAGACGGUACCUGUCGAAUAAGCCACGGCUAACUACGUGCCGGCAGCCGCGGUAAUCCGUAGGUGGCAAGCGUUGUCCGGAUUUACUGGUUGUAAAGGGCGUGUAGCCGGGCUGCCAAGUCAGAUGUGAAAUCCGGGGGCUCAACGCCCGAACUGCAUGUGAAACUGUUGGUCUUGAGUAUCGGAGAGGCAGGCGGAAUGCCUAGUGUAGCGGUGAAAUGCAUAGAUAGUAGGAGGAACACC